UACAGAGGUCUCAAGCGUUGUUCGGAUUCAUUGGGCGUAAAGGGCGCGUAGGCGGUUCGUGCAGUCGGACGUGAAAUUCCUGGGCUCAACCUGGGGGCUGCGUUUGAUACGUGCGGACUUGAGUGCGGAAGAGGGUCGUGGAAUUCCCAGUGUAGAGGUGAAAUUCGUAGAUAUUGGGAAGAACACCGGUGGCGAAGGCGGCGACCUGGUCCGAUACUGACGCUGAGGCGCGAAAGCGUGGGGAGCGAACAGG
This 253-nucleotide ribosomal RNA is filed under the name uncultured bacterium. Its description in RNAcentral is "partial 16S ribosomal RNA". It matches the Rfam family "Bacterial small subunit ribosomal RNA", at positions 524 to 776 of the family's 1533-position model. The record is from RNAcentral.